GACGAACGCUGGCGGCGUGCUUAACACAUGCAAGUCGAACGGAAAGGCCCUGCUUUUGUGGGGUGCUCGAGUGGCGAACGGGUGAGUAACACGUUAGUAACCUUCCCUUGACUUUGGGAUAACUUCAGGAAACUGGGGCUAAUACCGGAUAGGAGCUCCUGCUUCAUGGUGGGGGUUGGAAAGUUUCGGCGGUUGGGGAUGGACUCGCGGCUUAUCAGCUUGUUGGUGGGGUAGUGGCUUACCAAGGCUUUGACGGGUAGCCGGCCUGAGAGGGUGACCGGGCACAUUGGGAAUGAGAUACGGCCCAGACUCCUACGGGAGGCAGCAGUGGGGAAUAUUGCACAAUGGGCGGAAGCCUGAUGCAGCAACGCCGCGUGAGGGAUGACGACCUGCGGGUUGUAAACCGCUUUCGCCUGUGACGAAGCGUGAGUGACGGUAAUGGGUAAAGAAGCACCGGCUAACUACGUG
RNAcentral lists this ribosomal RNA (468 nucleotides) under uncultured bacterium. RNAcentral describes it as "partial 16S ribosomal RNA". It matches the Rfam family "Bacterial small subunit ribosomal RNA", at positions 28 to 507 of the family's 1533-position model. The record is from RNAcentral.